CCCCAGCCAACAAGACCUAGACGACCCUCGGUUUAAAGAUCUCAGUUAACUUCUGAUUCAGACGUUUGCGGAAAUAAUAUCCAUCUACAAUAAAGCACUCACUGACUGCUGGUUGUUGGGAUGUUACUGCAGCUGCUACUGGCUGCCAAUUUCCUGGUGGCUGUCACGCAGAUGUCACUUCUUAAUGAGAUUCGCGAUACUCAAGCACUAUUGAGCGGUGGUGUAGAAGCUGUGUUGGCCGCAGUGUCGGAGCCUCGCUGUUCCGUCAUGUUCUUCACGGACGGCGCCACAACCCUCACCGCUGUG
Molecule: non-coding RNA, 306 nt
Organism: Procambarus clarkii (red swamp crayfish)
Lineage: Eukaryota; Metazoa; Arthropoda; Malacostraca; Decapoda; Cambaridae
Source: RefSeq, a predicted model, not a curated record